RNAcentral lists this ribosomal RNA (498 nucleotides) under uncultured bacterium. RNAcentral describes it as "partial 16S ribosomal RNA". It matches the Rfam family "Bacterial small subunit ribosomal RNA", at positions 30 to 523 of the family's 1533-position model. The record is from RNAcentral.
AUUGAACGCUGGCGGCAUGCCUUACACAUGCAAGUCGAACGGUAACAGGUCUUCGGAUGCUGACGAGUGGCGAACGGGUGAGUAAUACAUCGGAACGUGCCUAGUAGUGGGGGAUAACUACUCGAAAGAGUGGCUAAUACCGCAUGAGAUCUACGGAUGAAAGCAGGGGAUCGCAAGACCUUGUGCUACUAGAGCGGCCGGUGGCAGAUUAGGGAGUUGGUGGGAUAAAAGCUUACCAAGCCGAAGAUCUGUAGCUGGUCUGAGAGGACGAUCAGCCACACGGGGACUGAGACACGGCCCAGACUCCUACGGGAGGCAGCAGUGGGGAAUUUUGGACAAUGGGCGCAAGCCUGAUUCAGCAAUGCCGCGUGCAGGAUGAAGGCCUUCGGGUUGUAAACUGCUUUUGUACGGAACGAAAAGCCCCGGGCUAAUACCCUGGGGUCAUGACGGUACCGUAAGAAUAAGCACCGGCUAACUACGUGCCAGCCGCCGCCGUAA